This 2776-nucleotide unclassified non-coding RNA is filed under the name Hevea brasiliensis (rubber tree). The record is from RNAcentral. Lineage: Eukaryota; Viridiplantae; Streptophyta; Magnoliopsida; Malpighiales; Euphorbiaceae.
AUAAGAGUCAAGUUUGUAUUUAAAUUUUUGAUACAAUACAUUAAUCAUGUUGGAUUCAUGUUAACCCUAAUCGUUUUUCGUGUUAACACAAACAUGAUACAUAUACAUCUUUCAUUGAUAUCAUUUCUCGUUACAAGCCUAGCACAAUAAAACUAUAUACUACCCCACUUGUACAACUGUUGUAUAUCAUCUAAGGUCAUAAUUGCUAUUUCCCUUGUAAUAAUGUAUUAAAAUGAUUAUACACAAGUUGUAAAUACAACCUCUAUUCUAUGCCAAUAUGCAAUGAUCAGAAUUUUGAAGACCUCUUGCUUGGAGUUGGGUAUUGUUUAGUUAAUCUCAGUACUCCUUUGUGGAUAAAAGAAUUAAUCAUUAAAGAAGCAGAAAUUCAAAUAGCGUGAGAAAUUUGUCACAUGUCAUGUCGAUUGAGGAAGUCGAUUAUGCAUGGAUACACCUGAUUUGCAGCCAGACAACUUCCCACUAGAUCAUAGUGAGCAUAAUGUGGACCCCAGGGCUCCCCGAAAACUUUGUAAGUAACAAGAUGCUCAGGGAUGACCUUUACGGUUUCAUAUACAGCUUCUGGUGGACAGAUGAGAUCUUUAUCACCAGCAAUUGCCAACACAGGAACUUUGCUUUUGCCUAGAUGAUCCUUGUAAAAGAAAGAUCCAUUCCGGUUUCUUAAUCCACCCUCCUGAAAUGCUGUUGUCAGCUGCAAGAGAAGUUUAGCAGGCACCGUGCAGAAGUUGUUCAUAACGAGCUUUUCAAACAAUUGUGGAUGCAUCAUGCCUGGAGCAGAAAUUUGAGAAUUUAACCAAGACAAGAUGUAAGGAGGACGAGAUGCAAAAGGAUGAGCAGCUGCUGCCAAUGCUCCAAUUGGAAUAACAGGAACAUUUAGUGUCUUUGCAGGGUCUGCCUGAAGAUAUUAAGACCUAAAAUCAGCCAAUCAUUGUUUUUUUGUCUACAGCCACAUGCGAAAAAAAAGUUAUUUGAAAUGAUUAGAUUUGCAAAUCACUUGCCACUGGUAAGAGCAAUUUGAGAGAUGAUUUUGAAGGUGUGUAGUCAAGUGAUGAAGCCAAAGUGGCAACUGAUGUCAACCCUGAAUCCCUUCCUUCAAAAGCUUAUAAUAUAACAUCAUUUUAGAAGAAAACAAAAACAAAAACUCUACUCUACAAGGUCACUUAGACUAUCAAAACAAGUUGAAUACAAAAAUGAAACUUCAGUUGAAAACCUAACACAACAUGUCCAUUGCCAAAGACAAUUUGAAACUGUGGAAAUGACCAAUAAUUCAUUAAUGCUGCCUACAAACUCAUAAGAGAAAAUAUAAGGUAAGAACUAUAAAACACUUGACUUUGGAGGACACAUAAGUCAUACUUGAACCUCUUGCAACUAACAUUUAGCCAAGCUCAAGCAAUUUUAUGACCUAAACUCUUCAAUGUACCAAAUAUUAGUGAUGCUAGAUCAAUGUCAUAGCCCAUGAUGUUUGACAAAACCUACUAAAUAUGUAACUAUGCUUUAGAUUUCCAUAACUACAGCUGCAAGGAGCCCACCCACAGAGUUCAUAAGCUAGUCAAACUGAGCAUGAUUUAAGAACAAGUUUCUUUCUGAACAAGCAGAGUUUUUCUGAAACUGUGACUCUUUGGAGGAUAAUUAACAAACUGAUUCAUCCAGUUUAAAUUCAAGACCAGAUCAAUUUGAAAUCCCCCUAUAAUUGCUGAUAUAUUACUCUGCUUCACACAUCCAAGCAAUGCAGGAUAUGAAUGUGAACAGAUAUAUAAGGACAAGUUUGGCAAGGCAUCUUACAGCAUUGUGAGAGCAUAGCAUAUAGAAGAAUGCCCCCCAUGGAGUGCCCAACUGCAAGCAAUUUGCCAUCAUUUGGUCCACAUUGGAUCCUUAUGUACUCCAUCUAAGAUAACAAUAUUAAUCAUUCAACGAGAAUAUUGCAAGUAAUGUAAAAAUAAAAAAGAUUGCAAUGAAGAUGAGUAAGUAUUAACACAUAUCAACACUCUAGAUUAAACUCAUUUAUGCUGAAGAAACAAAACCUCACCGCAGCAGGCAAAUCCUGUUCCAGGUAAUGAUCAAAGUCCCAAUCAUACUUCACAAUCAAGUCAAGCUGUUUGAGAAAAUCCUCAAGUGAAGUAGAGAUGCGCUCUUGGAAGUCAUAAAACUGUGGUUUGGCAGAUUGAUGGCCAUCUUCAAUAAAACCGACAAUCUUUCUAGUAAAAUCCUUAAUUUGGAUUGCAAUAGCAGAGUUUUUCCCUUCGUCAAGAAGGCCAGAGAGUCUUUCAAAUAAAUGGAUAAAUUUCUCCGACAACUUGGAAAUCGAUUUGUUAGAUCUAUAGUCUGUAUCUGUUCUUUCACCUUCUAAUAAAGAAAUCUCAGAAUCCUCGUCAUAGUCGUCCACGUCCAAUGCACUCAAUCCAGCUCCUCGAACUUCCAGAAUCCACGUAUCAAACCCUUGGCCAGACAUGAAGCGUGCGAACGAAGACUCAGGAGAGAGAUCAUAUCCAAUAGCGUUUGUUCCAACCCCUGACAAAAGCAACAGAGGAUGAUUCCUACGCUGCGCCCUAGGAGAAGGCAGGUAACGCCAGAGAGCGAGUUUCCAAUCGGAAGAGGAAACAGGGACAUAGUGCAGCUCAUCGGCCGUACAGGUCUCAGGCUUCAUCUUCACAGCCCUUAGAGUCGCGGGGGGCGGAGAAGACGACGUCUUGGAGGGAGCGGAGUUUCUUAGGGAGCAAAUUGGGGAGCUCGGAACCGGAAGAGACAAUGCCAUGCCUAUUCU